UUUUGUGUCUUUUAUUCCUGCAUCUCUGCUUCUCCCUCCCUACUUCCCUUAAUCUCUAAACCCUAGAUUCUCCAAUACUAGAAACCCUAAAUUAUGAACCUCUCAAAUCCAAAGCCUUCAAAUUAACCCGGGCAGCCAUGUACGAGUCAUCAAUUGAAGUUUCGAAGAUCGAAAUCAUAGAGCUUUAUCAGUUAAAGAACUCACGCAGUGUAUCCUUCCCCGGAGAAUUUGAUGGUUCGCCGAAAAUGUGUAGCUUUGGGCAAGAAAGAUUUAUUGGGCCACCUCCGAUUAGCAGGGACUUUUGAGAGGAGAAGCAAGAGAAGGUAUACACCAUUAUGAGCAAUAAGGGGCAUUGAUGCCAAGAGGCCCAAAGUUUUUCUGGAUCUUUUUUUGUUCCUUUGUUGCUGUGAAGAAUAUUGGUCAAGAACUAGUGGCAGAUUCCUUCAUCAGUAUCUUUCUCAAAUCGAACAUGGUAAACCGAUCAAAAGAACGUUUGAAGCAGGCACUAGAUGCGGAAUCGAAAAUGAUAAAACUAAAGACAAACAUGCAAAGGCUUGAAAACAAAAUUUGUGACAUGGAAUCAGAAAAUAAGAUCAUUUGGCAACAAUCAUUGUCUAUAACACCCGCUAGCUCUACAUCAGAAUUUACUCCAACAUUUAUGAUUUGAUCAGGUAGUUUUACCUGUCUCCUGAUCUUUUGUGUUUCAAUUCAUUCUUCAAGUCAUAUAUUUUAUUUAUAGACUUUUAAAAACUUCAGUUUGUUUGUGCUAUAGAAAUUGCCAAAUGGUCACCUAGUUAAUGAAGAUUCUGAAGUAAGUGGAGGCUUUAUCCUCUAUUUUAUCAUCUAGAAUCUUGUUGCAUAACAUAUCUGUCAUGUCUUUACUAUACUUAUUUAGGGUGUCUAUUUAUACAGAUUUCCAAAUAGGAGAUUGUCAAGUGUGUGGAGAUAGCAUAAGAGCAUAGUUGAAUGUGGUGUUUGGUUUUCUUGGUGGUGAUUCUAGGAGUAUGUGGUCCUUGUUGGUGCUACAACGUGUGUGUAUUAUGGAAGCGUCGAUGCAAGAGAAUACUGAAUAUGACAAGCAACAAUCAAGGAAGCCAAGCCCAGUAGGAAGCAUUGAAACUAGACCUGUUAAAGAUGUGGGAAUGUCAUAUCAACAAAAAAUAAUGUUUGGUUUUGUUACAUUAUAUUUAUUCUGUAACUGUGAAGAUCUUUUUAGCCAAAGGAAAUCCUCACUUUUUGUAAUUAUCGUGAUCUGGUCAAAUAUAAUGUGAUUUUAAAGAAAAUGGGGGAAUAGAGAACGGUUAACUAAGGAAACUGUCCUCAGUGAAAAACUCAUUAAUAUAAACAACUCUGUUUUAUUGCUUCUUAGGCAAGAAGUACUUUUA
This is a long non-coding RNA of Spinacia oleracea (spinach), 1385 nucleotides long. RefSeq lists it as uncharacterized. The transcript has 5 exons. The record is from RefSeq and is a predicted model, not a curated record. Lineage: Eukaryota; Viridiplantae; Streptophyta; Magnoliopsida; Caryophyllales; Amaranthaceae.